Long non-coding RNA from Pogonomyrmex barbatus (red harvester ant), 683 nucleotides. The record is from RefSeq and is a predicted model, not a curated record. NCBI's taxonomy places the organism in Eukaryota, Metazoa, Arthropoda, Insecta, Hymenoptera, Formicidae.
UACCUUACGACCCUCCAUGGACUCUCAAUGAGAUAAAAUGUAACUGCCGAAUGUGCGCGCUCGUCUGAAAGAGAGAAUAGAAAAAGCUAUCCAAAGAUUCGCAUUUCUAUAGGCAUCUGAAGGUUUCGACUCCGACCGCCAUAAAUGGAAAUUGCGCUGCUUCGACGUUAUCGAGUGACAUUGCAUGUUCCACUUAGAAGCUGAGAUGAUACAACGCACAUGGGACGCUCAAGUUUCGUGAAAAUGCCACUCGUCAAAUUACAUUACGGAAUUUCAGAAUCUACAAUAGAAGCGUUAACAGAUUCUGACAACACCGGUUGCUGCCAGCACUUCUGGAAUUGCGAAUAUAACGUGAAUAAUGUAAACGACAUGUAACAGAGAAUCUCCCAAGUAAAAGCAGAUGCGUUGGCCGGCCGACAAAUGUACGUGCAACAAAAGGCCGUUGUCCUGAAACAACGGCGAUCUCCAGCGAAGAGUUUCCCAAUGACUGUUUUGACAUUUAGUCUAAAGACCGAAUUUUCACCAACCAAUAGAAGUCUUUAUUCAACUACCAAAAAUAUUGAUACUUAAACGGCUUCGCUCGAAAUUAAUUUUUGAAGAGAGAUAUGUGAAUAGAGAGAGAAAGAGACAGAAAGACAAAAAAGCUUAACAAAGCUCCCAAUAAAAAGAUCACGAAUAGCUAA